Molecule: transfer RNA, 83 nt
Filed under: Eubacteriales Family XIII. Incertae Sedis bacterium
Lineage: Bacteria; Bacillati; Bacillota; Clostridia; Peptostreptococcales; Anaerovoracaceae
Description: tRNA-Leu
Rfam family: tRNA
About the family: Transfer RNA (tRNA) molecules are approximately 80 nucleotides in length.
Source: RNAcentral
GCGCACAUGGCGGAAUUGGCAGACGCGCCAGGUUUAGGACCUGGUACUGAGGUGUGGGGGUUCAAAUCCCUCUGUGCGCACCA